Molecule: non-coding RNA, 3718 nt
Organism: Plutella xylostella (diamondback moth)
Lineage: Eukaryota; Metazoa; Arthropoda; Insecta; Lepidoptera; Plutellidae
Source: RefSeq, a predicted model, not a curated record
GUGUAAUAUUGGGCAUUCUAGAUCACUCUCAGUCGCUUCGCUCCUUCGCUCGCUUCGCUCGCCGUGAUCCAGAAUGCCCAAUCGGUUUUACGUUCGAUAUCUAAUAAUUGUCUCUUCCGUUGACUUACUAAAUGAUCUUAUUCAUAUACAGGGUGCUUUUAACUUUACAUUACUUUGAAUAUGUAUUUAACUUUACUAUGAAACAGCUCUUUUAUUUUUCCUGAUUUCAGAGUUGGUUCCCAUAAUUAAAGUUAUACAAGUAUGACCUAUGUACAUUCACCUGCCAACGGGGUGACCACUAAUAAACAAGCAUUCUGUAUUUAACAUAACUAAAUACACUGGGUAACAUUACUGCCUUAUUUCCAACAGCAAAUAUAUGGUUAUAGGGCACCAUGAUGAUGCUAGUAUUAAAAAUAUACCAAAAUUACUCACCGAUAUAAAUUUUUAUUCACGCCGCAACACACAUCACAUAACACACAUUUUUUUUUUUUUAUUUUUUUUAGGUAGGGGGAAAAUCCAUCAUGGACACCUGGGAAGUGAAGACCCCAGGUAGUGCCGGACUCUUACCGGCUAAAAACCCCCUACCGAUAUUUGGGAGGUGCUUAGACUAUCAAACUAAACCAGACCUCAGGAUUUUCGGGAGGUGUUUAGACUGUCAAACUAAACCAGACCUCAGGAUUUUCGGGAGGUGCUUAGACUAUCAAACUAAGCCAGACCUCAGGAGUUUCGGGAGGUGCUUAGACUGUCAAACUAAGCCAGACCUCGGGAUUUUCGGGAGGUGUUUAGACUAUCAAACUAAGCCAGACCUCAGGAGUUUCGGGAGGUGCUUAGACUAUCAAACUAAGCCAGACCUCGGGAUUUUCGGGAGGUGUUUAGAUUGUCAAACUAAACCAGACCUCAGGAUUUUCGGGAGGUGCUUAGACUAUCAAACUAAGCCAGACCUCAGGAGUUUCGGGAGGUGCUUAGACUAUCAAACUAAGCCUGACCUCGGGAUUUUUGGGAGGUGCUUAGACUAUCAAACUAAGCCAGACCUCAGGAGUUUCGGGAGGUGCUUAGACUAUCAAACUAAGCCAGACCUCGGGAUUUUCGGGAGGUGUUUAGACUAUCAAACUAAGCCAGACCUCAGGAGUCACCACAUGACGUGUCGCGGAUCGCGGUCAUAUGUUAAUUUACAACUUCACUGUGGUAUUCGUGGGUGGUUGUAGUGAACUCGCUCCACUAAAAGAUAAACUUUGUUAUAAUAUAUUUAUAAUCUACUUUAAAAUACGAUACACACAAAACCUACAUACAUGUCAAUAUGUCAUAGUAUGAUGUCAAAUAGCAAGCUAAUUGAUAAUAUAUUAUGUAAGUAUUUUUUUAUUCUAAAGGUAAAUGAAAACAAUGCAAUAAACCUGUAUUUUUUAAAUAUAAAUUAAAGAUUUCUACAUUAAUUCUUAAUUUGAACAGUAUAGAAGCUAUUUAUUUUUAUUUGAAUUUAUAUAUUAAACUAAUCAUAGCAAAACUUUAGGAACAGGGAGAAAAGUAUGUACCUUCACGAGAAAGGUACCCAUUUCACUACCUAGACUAAAUAAAAAAUACAUCUAGUAGUUUUGUAUCAAUGUAAAAAGUAUUUUAACACAGAGAUAAACUGGAUUAUGAUAAUAAUAGCUUCACAUAGUAGCGCACUGACUGGAACAUUGCCCUGCAUUGCAAUAUAAUGUAGUGCUUGCAUUUUGUUGAUGUGCUAUUCUGGUCAGAAUUACAAUCUUGUUUCGGAAAUACAACGAAGUUUUUUAUGCAGCAAUUUGAAUCGUACAAUUUCAGAAGAGAUAAAUCAUACUAGUAGUAGAUACCUCGUUUUAUCUCAAAUAAACUAUUAUGCAUGUUAUAAGCUGUGGACAGUAAUCUCCGAAGGGGUACUCAGAGGUGACUCGCAAGCGACCCACCCGUUUUUUCGGUGUACAUUUGUAUACUCAAAUGAUAGGUCGCGAGCAGUAUCGCAGUUUUAGAAUGUGUACAAUGUACUUAGAGUACACAUCUCUAGGAUCUACAUGUGCACUGCAUUGUGCAGAUGUCCUCACGAUGUUUUCCUUCACCGUAGUACCACUUUUUAUCAGUGAACUUAAAUUCAUUAAUUGAAAAGAUUGAAUUUGGUUCGGGCGUGUGCCCGGAUUCGAACCACAACCUCUAGAAUGAGAGGCAUAGAGCUAAUCCGUUAUGCUACCAUAGGUCAAAUACACUGUACUGGCACAUAAUCAGAAAUAGGUAAGUACAUCAUUUUUAUUACAAACAUGAUUAUUUUAUAAAAUUAAUUAUAUCCAAUCACAAGCAAAUCCAAAUGAACUACUAGUGUUGACUAAAUAUCGUAUUACAAUUUAAAAGAAACUUAAUCAGAGUCAUCAUUUCAUUUCCCAUAAUUUUGGUAAAAUGCUAACUUGCAGUAUACAUGAUCAACUUUUCUUUGUGUGAGUGAAAAUAAUCAUAUCGAUCGAUUGAUUUAAAUUUGACGGAAAUCAAAAGAAAAAUUAUAUUUCAUCAGCGAAGUGCACAGUGAUCGGUGCUCGACGUCUUCCCUCUCCAUUACCUACCAGUUACGAGAAAAAAUGUACGUAAGUUAUAUUUUCAUAAUCUCUGAUUUUUACCAUUGACGCAAAAAGUGGGUGAUAUGUGUUUGAAACCGCUGUCUGUCUGUCACAUCGGUCAACAAAUUUUAGUACGUUUAUUUUUAUUCAAGUCAAGAAGUUCAAAAGUUUUUGAGACUUUUAGCGUUGAAUUUCGGGUUUUAACGUGGUUAGCCUAUUAUUAUGAUCUACCAAUAAGUACUCAAGAUUUGAUUGAAUGUAAACACGAUGUCUCUUCUUUAUUGCAGGUCUGACGGUGAGGGAUUUUAUUCUUCCGAGGAAGAACUGCCACGGCGUCGUCCCGUGAAGCCUGCAGCGCUGAGCGCCGCGCCGAGCACGUCUACUGCUCCCGCCCCAACUCCAUCCGGCUCAAGGAAGCGGAAGACUAAAGCUUCCGAAUCCGCUUCCGAAAGUAGAGCAGCAAUCAAUAAGGGCAAACAAAAAAUUGACCUGGCGACAUACAAUCGUCGCAAAGCAACUGUGGCGGCGCUGUUCGGUGGGUCGGAUGACGAGGCGGAGGCUGCAGCGGCACUGAACAACCCGAUUCAAGAGCUGGAGAGCAGCUUAACCCGAAAAGUUGGGGAUGGGUCGUUGCGGCGAACCGCAAAAUUAGACGGAAGCCUGUUCUGCGAACUUCGUGUUUACGAAGUUCGCGAUAUAAAAAACAUAUCCCCACGGGACCGGUGGACUAAAGCGUACACCAGUCUUAAGUAUCAAUUCGAUUAUGAUAGUCCGGAAUGGACUAACAUAAUCGAAUUCAUUCGGGUUGCGAAGACCCGAUUUACACAGGAGCCAAUAUACUAUCCGAAUAAGAAGUAAAUCUUAGUUGGAUAGUAUAUGUUGCAGAAAAUCGAAUUAAAGUUAAUCGUCUUUAAAAAUAAAAACUACAAAAUAUGUUUAAAUUAUUAAAUAUUGUUCGUUGCUAAUUUAUUUAAUUUAAAUAUUAAUUAAAUUUUACCUUACAUAUUUUACAGAUACCUAAUAUUUUUUAUCGAUGAUUAACUUUAUUUAGGCUUUCUGAAACCGGCUCCUAACUAGGUUAUAGCGGUAUACCAAAUACCUUAUUUUUAACUACUUUAUCUUACUGAAAAUAUAUAAUAAAAUAUAAUAUAACUUAA